AUGAUUAUUAAAGCAGAAGAUUGUUCUUUUACCAAACAAAUGCAGAUCAAACCACCUCUUAUCAUAAGAAGAAAUCUUUCUCGGUAUCAAUCCCCUUGGCCCUCAUUCUUUGAGAAUCGGAAUGAUCCUUUUCGAGUUUCCAUUUCUUCAUUUGAAAUCUGGGCUCUUCUGUCUCUGACUUAUUUUUUUGGCUUUAUUCUUUAUUUAUUUCAUUUGAUUUUUUACUAA
Molecule: ribosomal RNA, 228 nt
Filed under: Triticum aestivum (bread wheat)
Lineage: Eukaryota; Viridiplantae; Streptophyta; Magnoliopsida; Poales; Poaceae
Description: partial small subunit ribosomal RNA
Source: RNAcentral